ACGGAUAUGGUGAAAUUGGUAAACACUGUAGAUUUAGAAUUUACUUUUUGAGAGUUCAAGUCUCUCUAUCCGUA
Molecule: transfer RNA, 74 nt
Filed under: Spumella sp. NIES-1846
Lineage: Eukaryota; Chrysophyceae; Chromulinales; Chromulinaceae
Description: tRNA-Leu
Rfam family: tRNA
About the family: Transfer RNA (tRNA) molecules are approximately 80 nucleotides in length. Their secondary structure includes four short double-helical elements and three loops (D, anti-codon, and T loops).
Source: RNAcentral